Molecule: long non-coding RNA, 260 nt
Filed under: Elaeis guineensis (African oil palm)
Lineage: Eukaryota; Viridiplantae; Streptophyta; Magnoliopsida; Arecales; Arecaceae
Description: long non-coding RNA (EGUI_LNC072584)
Source: RNAcentral
UGUGGUCUCUUGCCUCAGGUAAUCGUUUCCGUUUCCUCCCUUAGAAAGUCUUUUUCCCUAGGAGUCUUCAUCGUUGUCCUUUACCUUCUUCCUCGCUUCCUCGUAGUUCUCUUCCUUCUUCCUCUCAUUCUUUGACUCCGGUUCUAGCAUAAUGGCUAGAACAUCUCCACAAGAAAGUCGGUCGGAGAACCCGACUAAUGAUUCUCGAUCGACCCCGGAGGUGGAGGUCUCUUCACUUUCGGGGCCGAACGUUGAUCGAC